Molecule: long non-coding RNA, 992 nt
Filed under: Gossypium barbadense (sea-island cotton)
Lineage: Eukaryota; Viridiplantae; Streptophyta; Magnoliopsida; Malvales; Malvaceae
Description: long non-coding RNA (GBAR_LNC008577)
Source: RNAcentral
GCUUAAGGAUGGCAACUGUGCUGUACUGACUUAUUGUAUUGGUGCUAGUGGACUUACAGAGCUGUAAAGAGUACUAUCUUGACUGGUAAAAAGAAAGCGUCUGAUCAGAUCUAUCAAGAGAUAGUGGUUCGCCCUCACUUCGAUCGCCUAAGCAAGGACUAGGCUGUCGAGUGAGGCCCUCGAGCCGAAUUUUUUUACCGAGUUCCCUCUCGGCUGACACGCUGCUCGGGAUCAGCGCGAACGGUGGUGAAGCUGCGAUUUCACUACGAUCUUGUACAGUCUGAACUCGUAACCCGCCAUCUUUGGGGCAUGAGUCGUCAGAUCUUGCCCAGGCAAAGGAGCGAUCGACACUCAGUAUUAAGUCAAGAUAUACGUUGCUCAUGACAAUUAGGACAAGCUUCUUUGAAGCCUUAAUACCAUUCAGAGGGUGAGGAUGUUGGAUUGUAUAUAUGUGCACAAAAUCUAAUGAAUGAGGCAUCAUUCUAACUUUUGUCUUUCCCAUAGGUACGAUGAAUUUGUGGAAUCUACGCUACACCACCUCAGCUCUUGGGUUUUCUUCCUGCCCUGAAUGGUGGUCUGAUCUUGGACAUGCUGGAACGCUAUAAAUGCUUCUGCUUUUAAGGAAUCAAUAUGAGCCCAAUUCAGGUGUGGAAGCUUGUUAGAUCCAUGCAUAAUGAAUUCAAGGCCCAAGGAUUAAUCAAGAUCAACCUCUAGAGACCUUUUAAGGAAAAUCAGACAUAGCCAGCCAACACCCAAAUUGCCUUGUGGCUUGGUUUUGAAUUAAUUAAGUGAAAUGAUUGACAAUUGGCGGUUGUUGAAAUCAGUUAAUUGCUCUAAACAGUUGUUGCGGUGUUCUUUUGGAGGUUCAUGUUAUCUUACUUGACAUUCGCUUUUUAAUUUCAUCAUGUACUGUAAGAAGGAAAUAGCUUAGAGAACCACAAAAAAAAGGAAUGUCUGACUAAUUAGCUCUCUACCUUGUUGAAAAAAAGUAC